AUUUUUUUUUUUAAAGCAGUGAAUCAUUCACCGUCUCGUUCACUGUCUUUAAGAGACAGUGAAUGAUUUACCGUCUUCGACGGUGAACGAUUUACCGUUUUCAUAAUUUUAUAUUAUACUGGUAGGGAUUAUACAUAAGAAAGAGAAAAAAAAAUGGUUAGAAUUAUAUGUGGAUUAUAUGAAAAAUAGAAAAAAAAUAAGAUUGUUAGGAUUAUACAUGGAUUAUUAAAAUUUUUAUUUGAUUGUUAGGAUUGUAUGGAUAGAUUAUUAGGAUUUUCAGAUUGUUAAGAUUAUAUGUGAUUUGUUGAAAUUUUUACGUAGUUGUUAGGAUUAUAUAUGGGAUAUAGAAAGAAAAGUUAGUGUUAUUAGUUAUGAAUUGUUGAGAAACAGAGUAAAGUAUAGAAUUGUGUGAUUUCGAUCUUCCUUGGCUAUCUAC
RNAcentral lists this long non-coding RNA (436 nucleotides) under Ananas comosus (pineapple). RNAcentral describes it as "long non-coding RNA (ACOM_LNC033251)". The record is from RNAcentral. Lineage: Eukaryota; Viridiplantae; Streptophyta; Magnoliopsida; Poales; Bromeliaceae.